Molecule: non-coding RNA, 76 nt
Organism: Merluccius polli (Benguela hake)
Lineage: Eukaryota; Metazoa; Chordata; Actinopteri; Gadiformes; Merlucciidae
Source: the annotation of a GenBank genome assembly
GGUCCUGACUUGCUCAAACGGGUCGAGCAUGGCGUUAACGUUGCCAGAGUUAUGGGUUCGAUUCCCACUGGGACCA